RNAcentral lists this long non-coding RNA (456 nucleotides) under Brassica rapa (field mustard). RNAcentral's name for it is "long non-coding RNA (BRAP_LNC004765)". Lineage: Eukaryota; Viridiplantae; Streptophyta; Magnoliopsida; Brassicales; Brassicaceae. The record is from RNAcentral.
CCUCAUUGACUGUGGAAGCAAAUCUUCAUCCAAAACCCCUGAUGGAAAAGUCUUCAAGAGUGACCAAGAUACGGUCCAAUACAUAGAAGCCAAGGAUGAUAUUCAGGUCUCGGCCCCACCUUCAGACAAGGUCGCAUCUCCUAUCUACCUAACUGCAAGGAUCUUCCGUGAAGAAGCCAUCUACAAGUUCCAUCUGACCCGACCUGGUUGGCAUUGGGUUCGUCUCCAUUUCUUGGCCUUCCCUCUCCUAUCUACCUAACUGCAAGGAUCUUCCGUGAAGAAGCCAUCUACAAGUUCCAUCUGACCCGACCUGGUUGGCAUUGGGUUCGUCUCCAUUUCUUGGCCUUCCCUAACGACAAGUUUGAUCUCCAACAAGCGACUUUCUCCGUUCUAACGGAGAAGUAUGUGUUGCUUCAUAACUUUAAGAUUACUAACAACAACAAUGAUAGCCAAGCU